Molecule: ribosomal RNA, 488 nt
Filed under: uncultured archaeon
Lineage: Archaea
Description: bacterial SSU rRNA
Rfam family: Archaeal small subunit ribosomal RNA
Source: RNAcentral
CAAUACAAGGCAGACGGCUCAGUAACGCGUAGUCAACCUACCCUAUGGACGGGAAUAACCUCGGGAAACUGAGUAUAAUGCCCGAUAGAACACUAUACCUGGAAUGGUUUGUGUUUCAAAUGAUUUAUUGCCAUAGGAUGGGACUGCGGCCUAUCAGUUUGUUGGUGAGGUAAUGGCCCACCAAGACUAUUACAGGUACGGGCUCUGAGAGGAGUGGCCCGGAGAUGGGUACUGAGACACGGACCCAGGCCCUAUGGGGCGCAGCAGGCGAGAAAACUUUGCAAUGUGCGAAAGCACGACAAGGUUAAUCCGAGUGGUUUCUGCUAAAGGAACCUUUUGUUAGUCCUAGAAACACUAACGAAUAAGGGGUGGGCAAGUUCUGGUGUCAGCCGCCGCGGUAAAACCAGCACCUCAAGUGGUCAGGAUGAUUAUUGGGCCUAAAGCAUCCGUAGCCGGCUCAGUAAGUUUUCGGUUAAAUCUGUACGCUC